UACAUGCAGUCGAGCGAACAGAUAAGGAGCUUGCUCCUUUGACGUUAGCGGCGGACGGGUGAGUAACACGUGGGUAACCUACCUAUAAGACUGGAAUAACUUCGGGAAACCGAAGCUAAUGCCGGAUAACAUGUUGAACCGCAUGGUUCUACAGUGAAAGAUGGCCUUGCUAUCACUUAUAGAUGGACCCGCGCCGUAUUAGCUAGUUGGUAAGGUAACGGCUUACCAAGGCAACGAUACGUAGCCGACCUGAGAGGGUGAUCGGCCACACUGGAACUGAGACACGGUCCAGACUCCUACGGGAGGCAGCAGUAGGGAAUCUUCCGCAAUGGGCGAAAGCCUGACGGAGCAACGCCGCGUGAGUGAUGAAGGUCUUCGGAUCGUAAAGCUCUGUUAUUAGGGAAGAACAAGUGCGUAAGUAACUGUGCGCACCUUGACGGUACCUAAUCAGAAAGCCACGGCUAACUACGUGCCAGCAGCCGCGGUAAUACGUAGGUGGCAAGCGUUAUCCGGAAUUAUUGGGCGUAAAGCGCGCGUAGGCGGUUUCUUAAGUCUGAUGUGAAAGCCCACGGCUCAACCGUGGAGGGUCAUUGGAAACUGGGAGACUUGAGUGCAGAAGA
This 620-nucleotide ribosomal RNA is filed under the name Staphylococcus kloosii. RNAcentral's name for it is "bacterial SSU rRNA". It matches the Rfam family "Bacterial small subunit ribosomal RNA", at positions 52 to 655 of the family's 1533-position model. Lineage: Bacteria; Bacillati; Bacillota; Bacilli; Caryophanales; Staphylococcaceae. The record is from RNAcentral.